CACGUAGGGCGCAAGCGUUGUCCGGAAUUAUUGGGCGUAAAGAGCUCGUAGGCGGUUUGUCGCGUCUGCUGUGAAAACUCGGGGCUUAACUCCGGGCCUGCAGUGGGUACGGGCAGACUAGAGUGCGGCAGGGGAGACUGGAAUUCCUGGUGUAGCGGUGAAAUGCGCAGAUAUCAGGAGGAACACCGGUGGCGAAGGCGGGUCUCUGGGCCGUAACUGACGCUGAGGAGCGAAAGCGUGGGGAGCGAACAGG
Molecule: ribosomal RNA, 253 nt
Filed under: uncultured bacterium
Lineage: Bacteria
Description: partial 16S ribosomal RNA
Rfam family: Bacterial small subunit ribosomal RNA
Source: RNAcentral